RNAcentral lists this ribosomal RNA (497 nucleotides) under uncultured bacterium. RNAcentral's name for it is "partial 16S ribosomal RNA". It matches the Rfam family "Bacterial small subunit ribosomal RNA", at positions 30 to 523 of the family's 1533-position model. The record is from RNAcentral.
AUUGAACGCUGGCGGCAUGCCUUACACAUGCAAGUCGAACGGUAACAGGUCUUCGGAUGCUGACGAGUGGCGAACGGGUGAGUAAUACAUCGGAACGUGCCUAGUAGUGGGGGAUAACUACUCGAAAGAGUGGCUAAUAACGCAUGAGAUCUACGGAUGAAAGCAGGGGAUCGCAAGACCUUGUGCUACUAGAGCGGCCGAUGGCAGAUUAGGUAGUUGGUGGGAUAAAAGCUUACCAAGCCGACGAUCUGUAGCUGGUCUGAGAGGACGAUCAGCCACACUGGGACUGAGACACGGCCCAGCCUCCUACGGAGGCAGCAGUGGGGUAUUUUGGACAAUGGCCGCAAGCCUGAUCCAGCAAUGCCGCGUGCAGGAUGAAGGCCUUCGGGUUGUAAACUGCUUUUGUACGGAACGAAAAGCCCCGGGUUAAUACCCUGGGGUCAUGACGGUACCGUAAGAAUAAGCACCGGCUAACUACGUGCCAGCCGCCGCCGUAA